This 67-nucleotide transfer RNA is filed under the name Ninguta schrenckii. RNAcentral describes it as "tRNA-His". Lineage: Eukaryota; Metazoa; Arthropoda; Insecta; Lepidoptera; Nymphalidae. The record is from RNAcentral.
AUCUAAAUAAUUUAAAAAAAAAUAUUGAUUUGUGGAAUCAAAAAUAUGAAAAAUAUCAUUUUAGAUC